Non-coding RNA from Pocillopora verrucosa, 377 nucleotides. The record is from RefSeq and is a predicted model, not a curated record. Lineage: Eukaryota; Metazoa; Cnidaria; Anthozoa; Scleractinia; Pocilloporidae.
AGAACUUAAUUCCGUGCUAGUUCAACUUUCUCUUGUUCUUGGCACAGUUAACUAGGAACACAGAAAUAAAGGCGCAGACGAAGAGAGAAACGGAAUAGCGAACCACAGAAGAAACUUUACAAACUCAAAAAAUAGAAGAACGUAAAAUGGUGACGAUUGUCAGUGGCUCCCAACAGUUCCAAUACUUUGCGGGCGGAAUGUCCGUAGGGACGAUCCCAGGAAUUAGUUUCGCUUAUCAGCAGCGCCUUCAUAACGUCGGGAUCUUUCACGCGAAUCAGUUAUUCGUGCAAUACCAUCUACUGCAACAGAAUUAUGCAGCUUUUACAGGUUGGCUGGUAAACACAUGUGGAGCAACUACUCCGCAUGCCAACCUGUGU